RNAcentral lists this long non-coding RNA (224 nucleotides) under Mytilus galloprovincialis (Mediterranean mussel). The record is from RNAcentral. Lineage: Eukaryota; Metazoa; Mollusca; Bivalvia; Mytilida; Mytilidae.
GGAUUUCUGCAUUUUCGGUAAAAUCAGAUGUAAAAAAUAAAAAAAAUCGGCAAAAAUCAUGCCGAUUUUUGUGUCAAGUGGACCACCUUAUGUACCAAAAAACUGUUUUUAUUAGAAAAAUUAGUCAGUUAGCAGUUUAAAUGAUUGAAAUCAUCACUUAUACCCAUGAAAAUAACAAAAAAUGAUAUGGUUUAUUUCAUUUCUACCAUAAAAUACAAUGUUAG